UGGGGAAUAUUGGACAAUGGGCGCAAGCCUGAUCCAGCCAUGCCGCGUGAGUGAUGAAGGCCUUAGGGUUGUAAAGCUCUUUCGCCAGGGACGAUAAUGACGGUACCUGGAUAAGAAGCCCCGGCUAACUUCGUGCCAGCAGCCGCGGUAAUACGAAGGGGGCUAGCGUUGUUCGGAUUUACUGGGCGUAAAGCGCACGUAGGCGGAUUUUUAAGUCAGGGGUGAAAUCCCGAGGCUCAACCUCGGAACUGCCCUUGAUACUGGAAGUCUMGAGUCCGGGAGAGGUGAGUGGAACUGCGAGUGUAGAGGUGAAAUUCGUAGAUAUUCGCAAGAACMCCAGUGGCGAAGGCGGCUCACUGGCCCGGUACUGACGCUGAGGUGCGAAAGCGUGGGGAGCAAACAGGAUUAGAUMCCCUGGUAGUCCACGCCGUAAACGAUGGAUGCUAGCCGUUGGGGAGCUUGCUCUUCAGUGGCGCAGCUAACGCUUUAAGCAUCCCGCCUGGGAGACG
RNAcentral lists this ribosomal RNA (509 nucleotides) under uncultured Methylocystis sp. RNAcentral describes it as "bacterial SSU rRNA". It matches the Rfam family "Bacterial small subunit ribosomal RNA", at positions 355 to 884 of the family's 1533-position model. Lineage: Bacteria; Pseudomonadati; Pseudomonadota; Alphaproteobacteria; Hyphomicrobiales; Methylocystaceae. The record is from RNAcentral.